This 326-nucleotide ribosomal RNA is filed under the name uncultured eukaryote. RNAcentral's name for it is "partial 18S ribosomal RNA". It matches the Rfam family "Eukaryotic small subunit ribosomal RNA", at positions 1470 to 1796 of the family's 1831-position model. The record is from RNAcentral.
CCCUUAGAUGUUCUGGGCUGCACGCGCGCUACACUGAUGCACUCAACGAGUUUACGACCUUGCCCGAUAGGGUUGGGUAAUCUUUUUAAAAUGCAUCGUGAUGGGGAUAGAUUAUUGCAAUUAUUAAUCUUCAACGAGGAAUUCCUAGUAAGCGCGAGUCACCAGCUCGUGCUGAUUACGUCCCUGCCCUUUGUACACACCGCCCGUCGCUCCUACCGAUUGAGUGCUCAGGUGAAUAAUUCGGACUGCAGCAAUGUUUGGAUCCCGAACGUUGCAGCGGAAAGUUUAGUGAACCUUAUCACUUAGAGGAAGGAGAAGUCGUAACA